CUCUGAUUUUGUUUGUCACCUGUUUAAUUCUAAAUAAAGUUAAACCUUUGGGAUUCUGAUUAAGAUAUAUUUUUUAAAAUGAUAAGAUACACUAUGACUUUCUAAACUUAUUUUAAUAUUCUAGAUAUGUUCUCUGAUACAUUUAUAGAGUGGUCUACAAAUGUUCCCCACAUUUUGGUGGUUACACGGACAAGUUAGUAAAUAAAUUACAUUAUUAUAAUGACGUGAUCUGUUCUUUAAUU
Pelobates cultripes (western spadefoot toad) is the source of this 242-nucleotide non-coding RNA. NCBI's taxonomy places the organism in Eukaryota, Metazoa, Chordata, Amphibia, Anura, Pelobatidae. The record is from the annotation of a GenBank genome assembly.